This 380-nucleotide ribosomal RNA is filed under the name uncultured bacterium. RNAcentral describes it as "partial 16S ribosomal RNA". It matches the Rfam family "Bacterial small subunit ribosomal RNA", at positions 338 to 733 of the family's 1533-position model. The record is from RNAcentral.
CCUACGGGAGGCAGCAGUGGGGGAUAUUGCACAAUGGGGGGAACCCUGAUGCAGCGACGCCGCGUGAGUGAAGAAGUAAUUCGUUAUGUAAAGCUCUAUCAGCCGGGAAGAAUAAAUGACGGUACCUGAGUAAGAAGCCCCGGCUAACUACGUGCCAGCAGCCGCGGUAAUACGUAGGGGGCAGGCGUUAUCCGGAUUUACUGGGUGGAAAGGGAUCGUUGACGGGGAUGCAAGCCAGAUGUGAAAGCCCGGGGCUCAACUGCGGUAGCGCAUUUGGAACUGGAUGGCUGGAGUGCAGGAGAGGCAGGCGGAAUGCCUGGUGUAGCGGUGAAAUGCGUAGAUAUUAGGAAGAACACCAGUGGCGAAGGCGGCCUGCUGGA